Molecule: ribosomal RNA, 425 nt
Filed under: uncultured bacterium
Lineage: Bacteria
Description: partial 16S ribosomal RNA
Rfam family: Bacterial small subunit ribosomal RNA
Source: RNAcentral
GUGGGGAAUAUUGGACAAUGGGGGCAACCCUGAUCCAGCCAUGCCGCGUGAAUGAUGAAGGCCUUCGGGUUGUAAAGUUCUUUUGGAGGGGACGAUGAUGACGGUACCCUCAGAAUAAGCUCCGGCUAACUUCGUGCCAGCAGCCGCGGUAAUACGAAGGGAGCUAGCGUUGUUCGGAAUUACUGGGCGUAAAGGGCGCGUAGGCGGUUUGGUUAGUCAGAUGUGAAAGCCCAGGGCUUAACCCUGGAACUGCGUUUGAUACUGCCAAGCUUGAAUUCGGGAGAGGUGAGUGGAAUUCCCAGUGUAGAGGUGAAAUUCGUAGAUAUUGGGAAGAACACCGGUGGCGAAGGCGGCUCACUGGACCGACAUUGACGCUGAGGCGCGAAAGCGUGGGGAGCAAACAGGAUUAGAUACCCCGGUAGUCC